AGUCGAGCGGUAGAGAGAAGCUUGCUUCUCUUGAGAGCGGCGGACGGGUGAGUAAUGCCUAGGAAUCUGCCUGGUAGUGGGGGAUAACGUUCGGAAACGGACGCUAAUACCGCAUACGUCCUACGGGAGAAAGCAGGGGACCUUCGGGCCUUGCGCUAUCAGAUGAGCCUAGGUCGGAUUAGCUAGUUGGUGGGGUAAUGGCUCACCAAGGCGACGAUCCGUAACUGGUCUGAGAGGAUGAUCAGUCACACUGGAACUGAGACACGGUCCAGACUCCUACGGGAGGCAGCAGUGGGGAAUAUUGGACAAUGGGCGAAAGCCUGAUCCAGCCAUGCCGCGUGUGUGAAGAAGGUCUUCGGAUUGUAAAGCACUUUAAGUUGGGAGGAAGGGCAGUUGCCUAAUACGUAACUGUUUUGACGUUACCGACAGAAUAAGCACCGGCUAACUCUGUGCCAGCAGCCGCGGUAAUACAGAGGGUGCAAGCGUUAAUCGGAAUUACUGGGCGUAAAGCGCGCGUAGGUGGUUUGUUAAGUUGGAUGUGAAAUCCCCGGGCUCAACCUGGGAACUGCAUUCAAAACUGACUGACUAGAGUAUGGUAGAGGGUGGUGGAAUUUCCUGUGUAGCGGUGAAAUGCGUAGAUAUAGGAAGGAACACCAGUGGCGAAGGCGACCACCUGGACUAAUACUGACACUGAGGUGCGAAAGCGUGGGGAGCAAACAGGAUUAGAUACCCUGGUAGUCCACGCCGUAAACGAUGUCAACUAGCCGUUGGAAGCCU
Molecule: ribosomal RNA, 777 nt
Filed under: bacterium LGM38
Lineage: Bacteria
Description: bacterial SSU rRNA
Rfam family: Bacterial small subunit ribosomal RNA
Source: RNAcentral